RNAcentral lists this unclassified non-coding RNA (233 nucleotides) under plant metagenome. Its description in RNAcentral is "partial contains small subunit ribosomal RNA, internal transcribed spacer 1, and 5.8S ribosomal RNA". The record is from RNAcentral.
UUUCCGUAGGUGAACCUGCGGAAGGAUCAUUACUGAGUGAGGGCCCUCUGGGUCCAACCUCCCACCCGUGUUUAUUAUACCUUGUUGCUUCGGUGAGCCCGCCUCACGGCCGCCGGGGGGCAUCUGCCCCCGGGCCCGCGCCCACCGAAGACACCUAGAACUCUGUAUGAAGAUUGCAGUCUGAGCAAAAACUAAGUAAGUUAAAACUUUCAACAACGGAUCUCUUGGUUCCG